Molecule: long non-coding RNA, 4119 nt
Organism: Gastrolobium bilobum
Lineage: Eukaryota; Viridiplantae; Streptophyta; Magnoliopsida; Fabales; Fabaceae
Exons: 6
Source: RefSeq, a predicted model, not a curated record
UUUUUGUAACUUAUCCAAAAAAAAAAAUAUUUCCCACCACAUUCUGGCAAAAUUAUUUUCCCGGUGAAAAUUUUUUUCUCCUAUUCCAAACACCCCCUAAGGGAUUCACCUCUACUCCCAAACACCAAAAACCAGUAAAAACCUCAUUAAAGAUUAAUUGUCUUCAUGUCAUUGCUGACUUCAAUUCAUGCUCCUUAGGGCCCACUUCUCAAUUGCUACCUGAACACUUAUUAGUUUGGCAUCUAUAAUCCGAAGGAGCCUAGUUCAAGCAUACAAAGGAUACUUCAGAUAAAAAUAAUGGAGGUGGAGAAUAGGAGAAAUGAGACAAGAUAUUUGUGGUCGUACUGUUACUGGUAUUGGAAUUCAAGAAAGACAACUAGAGAAGAUGGUUUGGAUUCCUUAAAUGCAACGAUAAUGGAGAGAAAGCCCGGAUGGAAGGCUAUUGCUUUCAUAUUAGGAAAUGAAACCAUUGAGAGAAUUUCAACAUACGGCAUGACAGCAAAUAUCAAGUUGAAUUAACCAAGCCCGGUUUGCACAAGUGUUUGUUGCAGCUUACAAGAAACGUCACCUUAAAAACCCAGCAGCAAAUGAAGAGGAAGUUGUUUACUAUGAUCCCCCACUAAGAGAUGAUAAAGCAGUCAAGAUACCUUUAACCAAACAAUUUAGAUUUCUAAACAAAGAUGCUCUGAUACAAGAGAAUGAAGUUAAUGCAGAAGGUUUGGUCACAAAUCCGUGGAGGCUUUGCAGCAUUCAGCAAGUUGAAGAAGUCAAAUGUUUAAUUAGAAUGAUACCAAUAUGGGCUUCUGGUAUCUUGUGUUUGAUACCAAUGGCACAAACAAGAACCUUUCCUAUAACACAGGCCAUGAAAAUGGACCGACACCUUGGACCACACUUUGAAAUUCUCGCUGCAUCAUUCCUUGUAGUGGCCUUAAUUAGCUUUGGUAUAUGGCUCCCCUGUUAUGACCUCUUUGUGCAAAGAGCUCUGGCAAAAGUCACAAAACAAGAUGAAGGGUUGACAAGCCUUAGAAAUAUAGUAAUUGGCAACAUCUUCUUAAUUCUUACAGUGGUAAGUGGUGGUUUGGUGGAGUGGCGAAGAAGGAGUGUGGCUAUCUCACAAAGAAUACUUCAGAUAAAAAUAUGAAAUCAGCAGAUGUUGAAAGUGUUCAGGGAUCCUUACACAAAUAUUCCCAGGAAAAAUUUUGGUCAACCAAACAUUAACUCAGAAACUUACCUAAAUAUUCGCAAGACAAAUUUUGACCAACCAAGCACAUUUUUGUAACUUAUAUCCGGGGAAAAAUAUUUCCCACCACAUUCCGGCAAAAUUAUUUUUCCGGUGAAAUUUUUUUUCUCCUAUUCCAAACACCCCCCAAAACAUUUCAUUCCUUGUCUACGCGCCCCACGGGACCCGCCCAAUCUUCCUUUCGUUAUGCCAACAAAUAGAAAGAGAAGUGUCUUGCAGAGGGCCAAUAAUAGAUGUUCCUUUUCCCUUAGGGAACGUUUGGUACCCAGAUUCUUUUUGUUUUCCUUGGAAAGCUGUGUAGGGAGAAUUUGAUAUCCAAGUUUGGUAGCAAUAAAAGCUACACUUUUGCAUAAUUUUUUAGUUAACGUGUAAGCUCUGGUACGGACACAUUGUAAAUUACUCCUUCGAUAAGCAGGUAUAUUUUCUUGCUCGGGAAGUAAAAAAGUAGCGAAAUGAUCUGGACGAAAUUAACCCGACCUUUUUGUGUACUAUCUGUAAAGUUGGGGUUAUUUUUAUAAAUUAAUCCUACAUUCCUUACUACUAUUUCACAAUCAACCAAACAUCAACUCAGAAACUUAGACGAAUAUUCACAGGAUAAAUUUUGGUCAACCAAACAUCAACUCAGAAAUUUACCCAAAUAUUUGAAGGACAAAUUUUGGUCAACCAAACAUCAACUCAGAAACUUACCCAAAUAUUCGCAGGACAAAUUUUGGCCAACCCAUCACAUUUUUGUAACUUAUCCAAAAAAAAAAAUAUUUCCCACCACAUUCUGGCAAAAUUAUUUUCCCGGUGAAAUUUUUUUUCUCCUAUUCCAAACACCCCCUAAGGGAUUCACCUCUACUCCCAAACACCAAAAACCAGUAAAAACCUCAUUAAAGAUUAAUUGUCUUCAUGUCAUUGCUGACUUCAAUUCAUGCUCCUUAGGGCCCACUUCUCAAUUGCUACCUGAACACUUAUUAGUUUGGCAUCUAUAAUCCGAAGGAGCCUAGUUCAAGCAUACAAAGGAUACUUCAGAUAAAAAUAAUGGAGGUGGAGAAUAGGAGAAAUGAGACAAGAUAUUUGUGGUCGUACUGUUGCUGGUAUGGAAUUGAAGAAAGUCAACUAGAGAAGAUGGUUUGGAUUCCUUAAAUGCAAGGACAAUGGAGAGAAAGCCUGGAUGGAAGGCUAUUGCUUUCAUAUUAGGAUAUGAAACCAUUGAGAGAAUUGCAACAUACAGCAUGACAACAAAUUUCAUGUUGUAUUUGUUGAAAGUGUUCAAUUUGAGUCACGUUGGUGCUGCAACUGUUAUCAGCAUAUGGUCUGGAGCGAGCAAUUUCAUAUCAAUUAUUGGUGCUUCUCUUGCUGACGCCUAUUUAGGAAAAUUCAAAAUCAUUGCUAUGGCAUCAUUUGGAACACUUGUGGGAAUGGUGAUAUUAACACUGACAGCAUGGCUGCCACAAUUUCAUCCUCCAAGUUGCUCUUCUCUGCACCAAGCAUAUGUUCCCCCAAAUACUAAUCAGCUGGCCAUCUUAAUUUUGGUAAUGUCUUUGCUGGGUAUAGGCACAGGUGGAAUUAGAGCAUGUAGUAUUCCCUUUGCCAUUGAUCAAUUUGACACAACUUCCUCUGAUGGAAGCAAAUGAGUCAACAGAUUCUUAAAUGGGUACUACACCACACAGACAUUGGUCAUGUUGAUCAAUAAUACUUUAAUAUUUUACAUCCAAAACAAAAACUGGGUCAUGGGUUUUGGGAUACUAGUCCUUAUCAUGUUGUGUGCAAUAAUCACAUUUUUUGCCAGAACAAGAACUUAUUUUUACCUUCCAGCAGAAGCGAGCAUAUUUUCUGGUAUUGCACAAGUGUUUGUUGCAGCUUACAAGAUGCGUCACCUUAAAAACCCAGCAGCAAAUGAAGAGGAAGUUGUUUACUAUGAUCCUCCACUAAGAGAUGAUAAAGCAGUCAAGAUACCUUUAACCAAACAACUUAGAUUUCUAAACAAAGAUGCUCUGAUACAAGAGAAUGAAGUUAAUGCAGAAGGUUUGGUCACAAAUCCAUGAAGGCUUUGCAGCAUUCAACAAGUUGAAGAAGUCAAAUGUUUAAUCAAAAUGAUACCAAUAUGGGCUUCUGGUAUCUUGUGUUUGAUACCAAUGGCACAAGCAGGAACCUUUCCUAUAGCACAGGCCAUGAAAAUGGACCGACACCUUGGACCACACUUUGAAAUUCCUGCUGCAUCAUUCGUUGUAGUGGCUUUAAUUAGCAUUGGUAUAUGGCUCCCCUGUUAUGACCUCUUUGUGCAAAGAGCUCAGGCAAAAGUCACAAAACAAGAUGAAGGGUUGACAAGCCUUUGAAAUAUAAUAAUUGGCAACAUCUUCUCAAUUCUUACAAUGGUAAGUGGUGGUUUGGUGGAAUGGCGAAGAAGGAGUGUGGCUAUCUCACAAAGGAUACUUCAGAUAAAAAUAUGAAAUCAGCAGAUGUUGAAAGUGUUCAAGGAUCCUUACAGAAAAUAUUCCCAGGACAAAUUUUGGUCAACAAAAACAUCAACUCAGAAACUUACGCAAAUAUUUGCAGGACAAAUUUUGACCAACCAAACACAUUUUUGUAACUUAUAUCCGGGAAAAAAAUUUCCCACCACAUUCCGGCGAAAUUAUUUUCCCAGUGAAUUUUUUUUUUCUUAUUCCAAACACCCCCAAAACAUUUUAUUCCUUGUCUAUACGCCUCACGGGACCCGCCCAAUCUUCCUUUCGUUAUGCCAACAAAUAGAAAGAGAAGUGUCUUGCAGAGGGACAAUAAUAGAUGUUCCUUAUCCCUUAGGGAACGUUUGGUACCCAGAUUCUUUUUGUUUUCCUUGGAAAGCUCUGUAGGGAGAAUUUGAUAUCCAAGUUUGGUAGCAAUAAAAGCGACACUUU